Molecule: long non-coding RNA, 1805 nt
Organism: Monodelphis domestica (gray short-tailed opossum)
Lineage: Eukaryota; Metazoa; Chordata; Mammalia; Didelphimorphia; Didelphidae
Source: Ensembl
AUUUUGUCUUUUUUGUAUUUCAUUUUUUUUGUUUGUUUGUUUUUCAUUUCAAUAGAGUGAAAUCCAUUGAGGGCAGAAAUUGUCUCAGUUUUGUGUAUGUAACUUUAGCACCUAUUAUAAAUGUUUGGCAGAUAGAAGGCAUUCAAAAAUAAUCAUUUAUUGAUCUAUUUGUUUAAUUUAUUUUUGCUUGUUAAUUGAUUGAUUGGCUAUUUCUUUUAGAAUUAUAUUCCUGUUAAUUUCAUAUGCAAAUUAUCUAUACCUGUAUCCAAGUCAUUGAUCAAAAUGUUAAACAUCAUAGAUUUAUGAGGUAUAUCAUAAGAAAAUUCCAUCCAAGUUAAUAUCAUAGGAUUAAUGGCUAUUCUUUCGGUCUGUCUAUCCAUUUAUCCAGGUCUAAAUUCAAUUAGAUGGCUGUUGGAACAAAUUGUCCUCCUUCAUACAUUCCACUUGGGGACAUCUUCAUAUGCUUGGAGUAGACACUCUCUUAAUCAAUGAUAAGCCACUCUCAACCUGGUUUGCCUGACUGCUAAGAAGGUUUUACUUGGGUUUGGCUGCUGUCCAUGUUUGGGGUAUUCUGGGAGGACCAGCAUCUUUGAUGCGAGGACUGCUCACCUACUUUUGUGUCCACCUGUCACAACUCUCACCCAUGGCUCCUAAAAGCUGUGGCAUGCACAAUCUUGGCAAUGAGGCUGAACCAGGUUGAAGAUGACUAACAGACCUCAAACCCAUCAGUGAUUUAGGGGGAUGUCUACUCCACGCAUGUGGAGAUUUCCCCCAGCAGAAUGGGUGAAUGAGAACUUAUCUCUACCAGGAUCAGCAGUGCCUGUUGCUUUCUCACAAACGCCUCAGAAAAUGUAGAAGCAGAGACGUGUCUCCUGCCUUUCCAGAAAGAUCAAACCAAGUUCCAGAAUCUCUAUCUGUCUCACCAGACAAUGAUAUUUGGUGGUUUCUAGAUAGUCUUUGUUUAAAAUUAAACUGAGAGCAUAGAGACAAUUCAAGGGUGGUGAACCUGAUUAGAAGGCAAACAGCAUAAAUAAUCACUGGCUGCUUUAACUGCAGCUGGAGGUCAGACUUCUGUCUCUUAGGUCUGUUCCUUCUCUAAUCAGGAAGCAAGGUGGGGACUGUAGCAAAUAUAACCCGGACUACUCUGGUCCACACUUAGCUGUAGGCCAGGUGUGAUACUUUUAGCUCCUCCUCAAGGGUUCUCUGCUGCCUUUAAGGGGGUUUGGGGAUAUCUCUGGUAGCUAGGCAGUGCAAUGGUUAGAGAGCUAAAUUUCAAGUCAGAAAGGCUCAUCUUCCUGAGUUCCAAUCUGACUUCCGACACUUACUAGUAGUGUUACCUGACCAAGUCAUUUAACCUGUCUCCUUUAGUUUCCUCAUCUGUAAAACAAGCUUGAGAAGGAAAUGGCAAACCACUCCAGUAUCCUUGACAAGAAAACCCCAAAUGGGGUCACAAAGAGUCAGACACAAAUGAGCAACAACAAAUUUUUUCUUAUCCUGCCAGAGUCCCCAAAGGGGGCCAUGGGAGCCAGUUUUUAAAAACCAGAUUUGACUCAAUUUUUCCAGUGGCACAGCUUCCCAUGUGACACUCAGAAUGGAAAAUAUAUUCUUUCCUGACUGUCUCUUCUCAGAAGCCUCCAAAGUCAAGUACAAAAAGAAGUGCCAAACUGAUGAAUUUUGUAAAAACACCUACUUGAAAGUCCAGUCUCCACAGCAGCAGCACUCAAAACAUGUUACCUAUGUAAAUUGUAUUGUGAAUGUCAUUAAAGGACAAUAAACAUUUCUGCUAUGAUUAUUAGAGCUGGAAA